This 2967-nucleotide ribosomal RNA is filed under the name Collinsella sp. AF23-3LB. RNAcentral's name for it is "23S ribosomal RNA". It matches the Rfam family "Bacterial large subunit ribosomal RNA". Lineage: Bacteria; Bacillati; Actinomycetota; Coriobacteriia; Coriobacteriales; Coriobacteriaceae. The record is from RNAcentral.
GCAAGAUACCACGGGCGCACGGCGGAUGCCUUGGCACAGGGAGCCGAUGAAGGACGCGGCAAGCUGCGAUAAUCCCCGGCGAGGAGCACACAUCCUUCGACCCGGGGGUCUCCGAAUGGGCGAACCCAUCCACAGAGGUGUGGAUAUCCCCACCCCGAACACAUAGGGGCGGGGAGGACAACCCGGGGAACUGAAACAUCUAAGUACCCGGAGGAGAGGAAAUCAAUCUCGAGACUCCCCGAGUAGCGGCGAGCGAAAGGGGACCGAUGGCCAAACCGUCGAGCGGGCGUACCCGGCAGGGGUUCCGCCGACGGGGUUGCAGGGCCGCGCAUCCGGGGGCUGCCGCCCCCGGGCGCAGGUCCGGCUGGGGAGCGGAACGGCAUGGGAGGGCCGGCCGCAGCGGGUGACAGCCCCGUACGCGAACCCAGACCGGACGGCGCGACGCGGUCCCUGAGUAGGGCCGGGCACGUGAAACCCGGUCCGAACCUGGGUGGACCACCAUCCAAGCCUGAGUACUACCCUGUGACCGAUAGCGCACCAGUACCGUGAGGGAAAGGUGAAAAGCACCCCGGGAGGGGAGUGAAACAGUACCUGAAACCGUGCGCCCACGAGCAGUCGGAGCACCUAUACGGUGUGACGGCGUGCCUUUUGUAGAAUGAGCCAGCGAGUCGCUGGCGCGGGGCGAGGUUAACCGAAAGGGAGCCGGAGCGAAAGCGAGCCUUAACAGGGCGACUUGAGUCCCGCGCCGCGGACGCGAAGCCGGGUGAGCUAUCCGUGGGCAGGCUGAAGCGGGGGUAAGACCCCGUGGAGGGCCGAACGCACGUCGGUUGAAAACGGCGGCGAUGACCUGCGGAUAGGGGUGAAAGGCCAAUCAAACCCGGAGAUAUCUCGUUCUCCCCGAAAUAGCUUUAGGGCUAGCGUCGCGCGUUCACCGCCGGAGGUAGAGCACCGGAUGGACGAGGGGGCUUCGCCGCCUACCGAAUCCAACCGAACUCCGAAUGCCGGCGGCCCAGAGCGCGGCAGUCAGAGCAUGUGGGCUAAGCUGUGUGCUCGAGAGGGAAACAGCCCGGACCGCCCGCUAAGGUCCCCAAGUUCCAGCCGAGUGGCAAAGGAUGUGCGUCCGCCCAGACAACCAGGAUGUUGGCUUAGAAGCAGCCAUCCAUUCAAAGAGUGCGUAACAGCUCACUGGUCGAGUGGACAUGCGCCGACAAUACACGGGGCUAAGCUGGACACCGAAGCGGCGGGAUUUUGAUUUUCAGAAUCGGUAGGGGAGCUUCCCAUGGGCGGUGAAGCCGCCGGGCGACCGGCGGUGGAGCGCAUGGGAGUGAGAAUGCUGGCAUGAGUAGCGAGAGACGAGAGAGUAACUCGUCCGCCGUGAACCCGAGGUUUCCUGGGCAAGGCUAAUCCUCCCAGGGUCAGUCGGGGGCUAAGGCGAGGCCGGGAGGCGUAGCCGACGCGCAGCAGGCAGACAUUCCUGCACCGCGCACGCGGCGCUACGACCGACGGGGCGACGGAUGGGGGUGGCUCGGCGGGGUUCUGGACGUCCCCGUGAUGGAGCGCGGCCCGCGGACCAGGGAAAUCCGGUCCGCAGGAGGGCGAGGCUCCGGACGAAGCGAUUGAGCGAAGCGAGUGAGCCCGAGGUCCCUAGAAAAACCCCUAGGCAGGCGCGUGCGCGCCCGUACCGCAAACCGACACAGGUGGGUGGGUAGAACAUACCGAGGCGAUCGGGUCAACCAUGGUCAAGGAACUCGGCACAAUGGCCCCGUAACUUCGGGAGAAGGGGUGCCCGCGCGUACGUGAACGGACUUGCUCCGGGAGCGGAGGCGGGCCGCAGUGGAGAGGCCCAAGCGACUGUUUACCAAAAACACAGGACUCUGCAGAAGCCGCAAGGCGACGUAUAGGGUCUGACGCCUGCCCGGUGCCGGAAGGUCACGCGGAGGAGUUAGCCGCAAGGCGAAGCCCCGAAGCCAAGCCCCGGUAAACGGCGGCCGUAACUAUAACGGUCCUAAGGUAGCGAAAUUCCUUGUCGGGUAAGUUCCGACCUGCACGAAAGGCGCAACGACUUGGGCGCUGUCUCGACCAUGGACCCGGUGAAAUUGCACUGGUCGUGAAGAUGCGACUUACCCGCGGAAGGACGGAAAGACCCCGUGAACCUUCACUGCAGCUUGGCAUUGGCCGCUGGUCCCGCGUGUAGAGGAUAGGCAGGAGGCACAGAUCCGGAGGCGCCAGCCCCCGGGGAGCCGCCCUUGGAAUACUGCCCUCGCGCGACCGGCGUCCUAACCCGAGGCCGUCAACCGGCUCGGGGACCGUGCCAGGCGGGCAGUUUGACUGGGGCGGUCGCCUCCUAAAGGGUAACGGAGGCGCGCGAAGGUCCGCUCGGGACGGUCGGCAACCGUCCUUUUGAAUGCAAGAGUACAAGCGGGCUUGACUGCGAGGCCCACAAGCCGAGCAGGUGCGAAAGCAGGCUCUAGUGAUCCGGCGGCCCCGAGUGGGUGGGCCGUCGCUCAACGGAUAAAAGGUACUCCGGGGAUAACAGGCUGAUCUUGCCCAAGAGUCCACAUCGACGGCAAGGUUUGGCACCUCGAUGUCGGCUCAUCGCAUCCUGGGGCUGGAGCAGGUCCCAAGGGUACGGCUGUUCGCCGUUUAAAGCGGUACGCGAGCUGGGUUCAGAACGUCGUGAGACAGUUCGGUCCCUAUCCUCCGUGGGCGCAGGAGAAUCGAUGGAGGCUGCCCCCAGUACGAGAGGACCGGGGUGGACGCACCUCCGGUGAACCGGUUGUCGACCAACGGCACGGCCGGGUAGCCGCGUGCGGCGCGGAUAACCGCUGAAGGCAUCUAAGCGGGAAGCCGUUCCAGGGAUUAGUUCUCCUUCCGGUAAGGGCCCAGGUAGACUACCUGGUCGAUAGACGGCAGGUGCAAGGCUGGCGACAGCCUCAGCCGAGCCGCACUAAUCGCCCGAGCUCUUCC